GGGGGCUUUUCUAAAGCCCCUGGCCCCCGAAGCCCCAUCCAAGUGGGUUGUGAAUGAAGUAGGGCCGAGUUAGCCCCCUGGCCCCAAAACAUCAUUUUUGACCCAUUUUUUUCAGAACAAUCACUCCACUGAGCAUUUGACGGUCUCCCCUCAGCCUCGCCGCCCCUCCCUCCAUCUCCUCCGCUGUCUUCCCCGGACAUGCUGAACCCCGGAGGAAACCUCCGCCCUCAUCGACGCCUACCAUGACAAGUGGUCCUCCCUCGACCGCACCAACCUCAACCCCGGAGGAAACCUCAAAACCACACCGACACCACCACCAACCCCAACACCCCCACCAACAACCUCAAUUUCCCAGACGAAUUCCAACUCAAUCUCUAACACAAUAUAAUCUCGUGGGUUCAUCUUUAACGCAAUCUACUCUCGUGGCUCCAUCCCCUCCUAGAUCUACUCUCUAACUGGCUGUAGUAAGUUGUGGCUAGCCUUCCCCCUGAGCUCCUUCGCUAUGUUAUUAAUAGAUUGGAAGCAAAUGAGAGUACAUGGCCUGCUCGUAAGCAUGUCGUUGCAUGUGCUACCAUGUGUGCAAGUCCCGGAGAGAAAUGUGCAAAGAAAUUGUCAGCAAUCUUGAAUUUUGUGGGAAGAUCACUUUCCCUGUUGGCCUGAAGUAGCCUAGGCAUAGGAAUGGAACCAUCCAGUGUUUCAUCAAGAGAGACAAUUUUUUGGAAUAUGUUGAAAGUCUUCAACAUUGAAUAAAGGAUGUUUCAUUUGACUUUAUCUCAGGGUAUUUUUAUUGCAUUGAAGUGUGGAGCUACCAAGGCACAAUUUGAUAGCACGGUGGGAAUACACCCAUCGGCUGCAGAAGAAUUUGUAACCAUGAGGACAGUGACACGGCGCGUUACUGGAAGUGGCAAACCCAAGACAAAUUUUGUUUUUAUACGUAUAUGUUGCUAAACUAGCUCACGGGCUUGAAGAUUGUGGCCAUGAUUUCAUCUGGGUGGUGAGAAAAAUUGAUGAGGACGAAAGUAGAGCUCUUGUGGAGGAGUUUGAGAAGAGGGUGGAAGCAAGCAAGAAUAUGCUUUUGAUGCCACCAUAUGAAAAUGACUUUUUAGAAUUAAAUUGCCAAUAAUGCAAAUUGAUGGAGAUCUACAUACCACAAUAAAAUUUGUUGAUUCCCUGAAAAUCCCAUAUAUUGCGGCCUCGUUUGAUGGCUGUGAGAGCAUUGUGGAUCAACCUGCUAUUUUGUCUUACUGGGAUCUUCCUCAAUCAGAAAGGGCUAAGUAUAAGAUUCAUGAUAACUUGGUUCGCUUCAGCUUUGGGGUUGAAGAUUUUGAGGAUUUGAAGGCUGAUGUCCUGCAAGCUCUGGAAGCUAUAUAGUUCAGUUUUCCAUUCACCCAAGUUUUUUUAUAAUCGUGUUAUUCUAUUUCUUUUUGUCAUCACUUCUAGUGAUUCAAUUCAACUUUGAUCGUCUAAUCUUUUGUUGAUCUUGUGUUAAGAUGAAUUGUCUCUGAUUUGGAUGUUAUGAACCUUAUGAAUUGUUGAAAUUAUAACUGUAUAUGAUGUUCACUUUUCCUGCAACUAA
Molecule: RNA transcript, 1576 nt
Organism: Vigna radiata var. radiata (mung bean)
Lineage: Eukaryota; Viridiplantae; Streptophyta; Magnoliopsida; Fabales; Fabaceae
Gene name: glutathione reductase, cytosolic-like
Exons: 7
Source: RefSeq, a predicted model, not a curated record